This 395-nucleotide ribosomal RNA is filed under the name uncultured bacterium. RNAcentral describes it as "bacterial SSU rRNA". It matches the Rfam family "Bacterial small subunit ribosomal RNA", at positions 358 to 770 of the family's 1533-position model. The record is from RNAcentral.
GGAAUCUUAGACAAUGGGCGCAAGCCUGAUCUAGCCAUGCCGCGUGAGCGAUGAAGGCCUUAGGGUUGUAAAGCUCUUUCACCGGGGAAGAUAAUGACGGUACCCGGAGAAGAAGCCCCGGCUAACUCCGUGCCCGCAGCCGCGGUAAUACGGAGGGGGCUAGCGUUGUUCGGAAUUACUGGGCGUAAAGCGCGCGUAGGCGGGCUGUUAAGUCGGGGGUGAAAUCCCGGGGCUCAACCCCGGAACUGCCUCCAAAACUAUCGGUCUGGAGUUCGAGAGAGGUGAGUGGAAUUCCGAGUGUAGAGGUGAAAUUCGUAGAUAUUCGGAGGAACACCAGUGGCGAAGGCGGCUCACUGGCUCGAUACUGACGCUGAGGUGCGAAAGUGUGGGGAGCA